AUACGGAGGGUGCAAGCGUUACUGGGAAUCACUGGGCGUAAAGCGCGCGCAGGCGGCUAUUUAAGUUGGAUGUGAAAGCCUACGGCUCAACCGUAGAACUGCAUCCAAAACUAUUUAGCUAGAGUGUGGGAGAGGAAGAUGGAAUUAGUUGUGUAGGGGUAAAAUCCGUAGAGAUAACUAGGAAUACCAAAAGCGAAGGCAAUCUUCUGGAACACUACUGACGCUGAGGCGCGAAAGCGUGGGGAGCAAACAGGAUUAGAAACCCCAGUAGUCC
This 274-nucleotide ribosomal RNA is filed under the name uncultured bacterium. RNAcentral's name for it is "partial 16S ribosomal RNA". It matches the Rfam family "Bacterial small subunit ribosomal RNA", at positions 523 to 796 of the family's 1533-position model. The record is from RNAcentral.